CGGUAAUUCCAGCUCCAAUAGCGUAUACUAAAGUUGUUGCAGUUAAAAAGCUCGUAGUUGGAUUUCUGCGGGGACGGAGCGGCCGGUCGCAACUUGCGACUCGAGCUAGCGCUUUCCCCGCAUCCUGCCGCGAACCGUGCUACCAUUAGCUUGGUGGCGCUGGGGAUCGGCUCGAUUACUUUGAGAAAAAUAGAGUGUUCAAAGCAGGCCACACGCCUUGAAUAAGUUAGCAUGGAAUAAUGACUAAGGACUUCGGUUCUAUUUUGUUGGUGUUCGGGACUGAAGUAAUGAUUGAUAGGGACAGUUGGGGCGGUCUGUAUUCCAAAGCGAGAGGUGAAAUUCUUAGACCUUCAGAAGACAAACAGCUGCGAAAGCGCUCCGCAAGGAUGUUCCCUUUGAUCAAGAACGAAAGUUGGGGGAUCGAAGACGAUCAGAUACCGUCGUAGUCUCAACUAUAAACUAUACCAGCUAGGGAUCGGUCAACGUUUAAUCAUUCGACUUGAUCAGCACCUUAUGAGAAAUCAAAGCAUCUGGGUUCCGGGGGGAGUAUGGUCGCAAGGCUGAAACUUAAAGGAAUUGACGGAAGGGCACCACCAGCCGUGGAGCCUGUGGCUUAAUUUGACUCAACACGGGAAAACUUACCAGGUCCAGACAUAGUAAGGAUUGACAGAUUGAUAGCUCUUUCUUGAUUCUGUGGGUGGUGGUGCAUGGCCGUUCUUAGUUGGUGGAGUGAUUUGUCUGGUUAAUUCCGUUAACGAACGAGACCCCAGCCUGCUAAAUAGCGCGGCUGAGCUUUGCUCGGUGCGAGCUUCUUAGAGGGACUAUGAUGCGCGAUAGCACAUGGAAGUUUGGGGCAAUAACAGGUCUGUGAUGCCCUUAGAUGUUCUGGGCCGCACACGGGCUACACUGGCGCCUGCAACGAGCAUAUCAGCUGGCCCGAGAGGGUCUUGGCUAAUCUUUUGAACCGGCGCCGUGCUUGGGAUUGACCAUUGCAAUUGUUGGUCAUGCAACGAGGAAUGCCUUGUAAACGCGAGUCAUCAGCUCGCAUUGAAUACGUCCCUGCCCUUUGUACACACCGCCCGUCGCUCCUACCGAUGAAUGUUCCGAUGAAAUUUUCGGAGAGCGCCAGAGAACGGGGCUCCGCCUUGCAGAUCUGGAGGCUCAAAGUCACUUAAAUCUGAACAUUUCGAGGAAGGAGAAGUCGUAACAAGGUAACC
Molecule: ribosomal RNA, 1217 nt
Filed under: uncultured Rhizaria
Lineage: Eukaryota
Description: SSU rRNA
Rfam family: Eukaryotic small subunit ribosomal RNA
Source: RNAcentral